This is a long non-coding RNA of Gallus gallus (chicken), 833 nucleotides long. The record is from Ensembl. NCBI's taxonomy places the organism in Eukaryota, Metazoa, Chordata, Aves, Galliformes, Phasianidae.
GAGAACCUGCAUCCAACCCCACCCAAAGGGUGCUCCAGGUUGGCCAGCUGGGCUGUGCUCGUGGCAGUGUGACCCUGUUGGCCUGGGGGUCCCUGUGCCCGCAGUGCUGGUCCUGCUCUCACUGCAGUGCUCAGCAGAGGGGCAAACACACAGUGCAGAGCUCGGAGUACUCUGCAGCAGGAAUGACAUGCAUUUCCUCUGCUCACCUGGAAAACCUUAUUCCCCUGAUAGACAUCUGCCACAAUGCAGUUCUGCCUGGAUCGUGAACCACAUGUGGAGUUUUAUUGUGCUCUGAAUACCAAUUAUUUCAGGCUUUCCUGUCAACGUGCCACUCAGCCCUACUGCUCUGGGUUUGACUGACACUCGGCGGUCCUCCCCGCUCGUGCUUGGGGCUUCCUCCCGGAAAACGACUGGGAACAUCAGGGUUGCAACUGGAAGGUUGUGUUUCCGACUGAUUUGCAAGGCUUGGGGAGGCGCUGAGAUUUGCAUCGUUCUGCAACAGCCGGGAUCAAAGGUGCAGCUCAGAAACGUGAGGCGUUUUGGAGCAACCUGCAAAGCAGCUGAGGAAGGCGUGGAGCUGGGAGAGCGCAGACAGACAGCGAUAGAAGACUGAAUUGCUCCGUGCGUUGAGCAAUUAAGCCAAGCCGAACGGGGCAGCGUGAACAAAGCGAUGGGGAAAUCACUGAGGCACAAAGCUGAGCUCACUGACCGCGAUGUGGUGAGGGGGCUCAAUAAGGGUCAAUUAAGCUCCCACCGCACCGCCUGGCAGACGGAAUUAAGUGCCAAUUUUCUGCACUGCUGCAGAGGCAGAGCAUUAAAAUGAUAAAUAACAG